Molecule: non-coding RNA, 263 nt
Organism: Oryza nivara
Lineage: Eukaryota; Viridiplantae; Streptophyta; Magnoliopsida; Poales; Poaceae
Source: Rfam
UUUAAAUGCAACCAUAAAUUUACGUGCUUAACUUUAAUCGUCCAUCUAAUUUAAUUUUUUUUAUAAUUAGUAUUUUUGUUAUUAUGAGAUGAUAAAACAUGAAUAAUACUUUGAUUGUGACUUACUCCCUCCGUUUCACAUCUAUAUGAAUGUGGGCAAUGCUAGAAAGUCUUAUAAUGUGAAACAGAGGAAGUAUGUUUUUAUUUUUUUCAAAUAAGAUAAAUAAUCAAAAUUAGGCGCGGAAAACUAUGGUUGCACUUAUA